GAUGCACAGUGCAGUAUAAAACCCGCCUUUUCCUGCGUCACAUCCUCUUUCCGUGCUCUUCUCGCUUUGAGAAUUCUCUCCCCACGAUGAGAGCUAAGUGGAGGAAGAAGCGUAUGCGCAGGCUGAAGCGUAAAAGGAGAAAGAUGAGGCAGAGGUCCAAGUAAGCCCUCUCUCCUUCCCCAGCUGUGAGUCCCGUCUGUCCCAGAGGCUGUGUCAGGACCCAGUGGAGACCUGAGGAGCGGCUGUUCUAUAAGCAAACCCUGUGUUCCUGCUACAACUGGAUGCUUUGGCGGAUAAAGACUUUAACAUCAGACUACAGCUGGACUCUUGUCAUGGACCAUAAAAUUAUUGCUCUGUCAACGUGUGUUUUGAACAAUAAAUGGAACAUGUUCUUAAAUUCACAA
Boleophthalmus pectinirostris (great blue-spotted mudskipper) is the source of this 404-nucleotide long non-coding RNA. RefSeq lists it as uncharacterized. The record is from RefSeq and is a predicted model, not a curated record. The transcript has 4 exons. NCBI's taxonomy places the organism in Eukaryota, Metazoa, Chordata, Actinopteri, Gobiiformes, Gobiidae.